Molecule: unclassified non-coding RNA, 329 nt
Filed under: plant metagenome
Description: partial contains 5.8S ribosomal RNA, internal transcribed spacer 2, and large subunit ribosomal RNA
Rfam family: 5.8S ribosomal RNA (bases 1-105)
Source: RNAcentral
GAAAUGCGAUAAGUAAUGUGAAUUGCAGAAUUCCGUGAAUCAUCGAAUCUUUGAACUCACAUUGCGCCCUCUGGUAUUCCGGGGGGCAUGCCUGUCCGAGCGUCAUUGCGAACCCCUCAAGCACGGCUUGUGUGAUGGGCCCUCCCGCGUCUUGGUCGUCAAGACGGGCCCGAAAUGCAGUGGCGGCUUCGCGGUUAUCCGAUCAGCCAGAGCGUAUGGGGACUUUCUCUCUGUCACACGCCCGCGGCGCGGACCGACGCCUGUCGACCUUCAUUCAUCGUUUUCUCGGUUGACCUCGGAUCAGGUAGGGAUACCCGCUGAACUUAAGC